Molecule: transfer RNA, 71 nt
Filed under: Planctomycetales bacterium 12-60-4
Lineage: Bacteria; Pseudomonadati; Planctomycetota; Planctomycetia; Planctomycetales
Description: tRNA-Ile
Rfam family: tRNA
About the family: Transfer RNA (tRNA) molecules are approximately 80 nucleotides in length. Their secondary structure includes four short double-helical elements and three loops (D, anti-codon, and T loops).
Source: RNAcentral
CGCUCGGUGGUGUAACGGAAGCACUUCGUUCUGAUACGGCGACAGCGGUGGUUCAACUCCACCCCGAGCGA